AAGGGAGGGAGUUAGGCUUGGAUCUAGGAGUCUUUGCGACCGUUGCGAGCUCGGCUACAUGAUAGAAAAUUGUUGGUGGAACUUAUUGAGAAGUAAGGAACAAGCCGAGCCCUAUUUUGUACAAGGGGAACCCUUUUAGUACCAAAGGGUUGAGGUCCAGGCGAAGGAUCCAGUGGUGGACGGGGAAAGGAGCAAAGCUAGGGGUUUGCUUGUGAUUUGUAAAGAACUGCAACCCCUUUCUUUUGAGCAAAUAUAUUGUAAUGUAUUUAAGAUUAGGGUGCCAGUAGGAUAUGAUUAUGUGUGUGUGUGUGAAUAUGUGUGGAUUGUGUGCUUGUGUAUGAAUUUUUGUCUGUUUGCAGACUUGUGGCUAGGAAACUUGGUUAUGGUGUGUGGUUUUGAUGGAUUUACUUAGUAGACCAAGUUUCUAUU
Molecule: long non-coding RNA, 429 nt
Organism: Prosopis cineraria
Lineage: Eukaryota; Viridiplantae; Streptophyta; Magnoliopsida; Fabales; Fabaceae
Exons: 3
Source: RefSeq, a predicted model, not a curated record